AGUUAAUGAUCCCGUUCUUCGAACACA
This 27-nucleotide small nuclear RNA is filed under the name Arabidopsis thaliana (thale cress). RNAcentral's name for it is "snRNA_15315". Lineage: Eukaryota; Viridiplantae; Streptophyta; Magnoliopsida; Brassicales; Brassicaceae. The record is from RNAcentral.